This 483-nucleotide ribosomal RNA is filed under the name uncultured bacterium. RNAcentral describes it as "bacterial SSU rRNA". It matches the Rfam family "Bacterial small subunit ribosomal RNA", at positions 1 to 507 of the family's 1533-position model. The record is from RNAcentral.
CACACGAGUUUGAUCCUGGCUCAGAUUGAACGCUGGCGGCAUGCUUUACACAUGCAAGUCGAACGGUAACAGGUCUUUCGGGAUGCUGACGAGUGGCGAACGGGUGAGUAAUGUAUCGGAACGUGCCCAGUAGUGGGGGAUAACUACUCGAAAGAGUGGCUAAUACCGCAUGAGAUCUCUGGAUGAAAGCGGGGGACCGUAAGGCCUCGCGCUACUGGAGCGGCCGAUAUCAGAUUAGGUUGUUGGUGAGGUAAAGGCUCACCAAGCCGACGAUCUGUAGCUGGUCUGAGAGGACGACCAGCCACACUGGGACUGAGACACGGCCCAGACUCCUACGGGAGGCAGCAGUGGGGAAUGUUGGACAAUGGGCGAAAGCCUGAUCCAGCAAUGCCGCGUGAGUGAUGAAGGCCUUAGGGUUGUAAAGCUCUUUUACCAGGGAUGAUAAUGACAGUACCUGGAGAAUAAGCUCCGGCUAACUCCGUG